This 425-nucleotide ribosomal RNA is filed under the name uncultured bacterium. RNAcentral describes it as "partial 16S ribosomal RNA". It matches the Rfam family "Bacterial small subunit ribosomal RNA", at positions 354 to 796 of the family's 1533-position model. The record is from RNAcentral.
GUGGGGAAUAUUGCACAAUGGGGGAAACCCUGAUGCAGCGACGCCGCGUGAGUGAAGAAGUAUUUCGGUACGUAAAGCUCUAUCAGCAAGGAAGAAAAUGACGGUACUUGACUAAGAAGCCCCGGCUAACUACGUGCCAGCAGCCGCGGUAAUACGUAGGGGGCAAGCGUUAUCCGGAUUUACUGGGUGUAAAGGGAGCGUAGACGGUAUGGUAAGUCAGAUGUGAAAGCCCGGGGCUCAACCCCGGGACUGCAUUUGAAACUAACAGACUAGAGUGCAGGAGAGGUAAGUGGAAUUCCUAGUGUAGCGGUGAAAUGCGUAGAUAUUAGGAGGAACACCAGUGGCGAAGGCGGCUUACUGGACUGUAACUGACGUUGAGGCUCGAAAGCGUGGGGAGCAAACAGGAUUAGAUACCCCAGUAGUCC